This 403-nucleotide ribosomal RNA is filed under the name uncultured bacterium. RNAcentral describes it as "partial 16S ribosomal RNA". It matches the Rfam family "Bacterial small subunit ribosomal RNA", at positions 30 to 526 of the family's 1533-position model. The record is from RNAcentral.
AUUGAACGCUGGCGGCAGGCCUAACACAUGCAAGUCGAGCGAGCGGCGGACGGGUGAGUAAUGUAUGGGGACUGCCCGAUAGAGGGGGAUAACUACUGGAAACGGUGGCUAAUACCGCAUCUUGUAGGCAAACCCAUAGGGGAUUGGCUAGUAGGUAAGGUAAUGGCGUACCGAGGAGACGAUCCCUAGCUGGUCUGAGCGGAUGAUCAGCCACACUGGGACUGAGACACGGCCCAGACUCCGACGGAGGCAGCAGUGGGGAAUAUUGCACAAUGGGCGCAAGCCUGAUGCAGCCAUGCCGCGUGUAUGAAGAAGGCCCUAGGUUUGUAAAGUACUUUCAGUCGGGAGGCGUUACCGAAAGAAGAAGCACCGGCUAACUCCGUGCCAGCAGCCGCGGUAAUAC